GAACAAGUCCUCCAAAGACUUCCCCAGAGGCAACCCCACAAGCUUCUCCCCUGCACCCACUACAAGUGACAGCAGAACAUAAGUCUCAGAGGAAAACUGAACUGCAUUCCCUUCUUACUGGCAUGUGCAGCUGGCCCAGUGCCCCCAGCCCUGAUCACGAGGCUUGCCCAGCACCAGCUCCACCCCUGAGCUACCCAUGUGAGCUGUCCCCACACCCCAGCUGAUCUCUGCUCAUCUGUGACUCAUCUAGGCCAGUUGCUGGGGCCCUCAUCCUGUUGCUGACAUGCAAUCCUUUCAUGUCAGUUCCUUCCUCCCUGACCCUCCCAGAGCCGUCAUGCCUGGAGAGCCAGCUCUGAAGCUGCCCAAGCAGCUCAUGGCCCCACCGCCCUGACCACCUGGGUCUGGUACCUGCCACAGCUGCCUAAAUAGAGUUCCAGCAGUUUCCCAGACUCUCACCUCAGUGCAAACUGGACUCCAGUGUCCAAGGUUCUUAUCUUCCUGCCUGAACAGCCUGUCUGGGUCCAAGAACCCUCCCCCCAACCCCAGACCACAGCCUGCAGGAAGGAACCCCAAGGCACUGAGGGGAAAAGCCAUUUCCACUUCCAGUUCUGGUCCAGACCCUCUUAGGCGGCGGAUGCUCCAUGAGUGCGAGUGG
This 655-nucleotide long non-coding RNA is filed under the name Homo sapiens (human). RNAcentral describes it as "HSALNT0051150". The record is from RNAcentral. Lineage: Eukaryota; Metazoa; Chordata; Mammalia; Primates; Hominidae.